AUGAACGCUGGCGGCGUGCCUCAUACAUGCAAGUCGAGCGAACGGACGAGAAGCUUGCUUCUCUGAUGUUAGCGGCGGACGGGUGAGUAACACGUGGAUAACCUACCUAUAAGACUGGGAUAACUUCGGGAAACCGGAGCUAAUACCGGAUAAUAUUUUGAACCGCAUGGUUCAAAAGUGAAAGACGGUCUUGCUGUCACUUAUAGAUGGAUCCGCGCUGCAUUAGCUAGUUGGUAAGGUAACGGCUUACCAAGGCAACGAUGCAUAGCCGACCUGAGAGGGUGAUCGGCCACACUGGAACUGAGACACGGUCCAGACUCCUACGGGAGGCAGCAGUAGGGAAUCUUCCGCAAUGGGCGAAAGCCUGACGGAGCAACGCCGCGUGAGUGAUGAAGGUCUUCGGAUCGUAAAACUCUGUUAUUAGGGAAGAACAUAUGUGUAAGUAACUGUGCACAUCUUGACGGUACCUAAUCAGAAAGCCACGGCUAACUACGU
This 495-nucleotide ribosomal RNA is filed under the name uncultured bacterium. RNAcentral describes it as "partial 16S ribosomal RNA". It matches the Rfam family "Bacterial small subunit ribosomal RNA", at positions 29 to 506 of the family's 1533-position model. The record is from RNAcentral.